GAUGAACGCUGGCGGCGUGCCUAAUACAUGCAAGUCGAGCGAAUGGAUUAAGAGCUUGCUCUUAUGAAGUUAGCGGCGGACGGGUGAAUAACACGUGGGUAACCUGCCCAUCAGACUGGGAUAACUCCGGGACACCGGGGCUAAUACCGGAUAACAUUUUGAACCGCAUGGUUCGAAAUUGAAAGGCGGCUUCGGCUGUCACUUAUGGAAGGACCCGCGUCGCAUUAGCUAGUUGGUGAGGUAACGGCUCACCAAGGCAACGAUGCGUAGCCGACCUGAGAGGGUGAUCGGCCACACUGGGACUGAGACACGGCCCAGACUCCUACGGGAGGCAGCAGUAGGGAAUCUUCCGCAAUGGACGAAAGUCUGACGGAGCAACGCCGCGUGAGUGAUGAAGGCUUUCGGGUCGUAAAACUCUGUUGUUAGGGAAGAACAAGUGCUAGUUGAAUAAGCUGGCACCUUGACGGUACCUAACCAGAAAGCCACGGCUAACUACGUGCCAGCCGCCGCAGUAA
RNAcentral lists this ribosomal RNA (515 nucleotides) under uncultured bacterium. Its description in RNAcentral is "partial 16S ribosomal RNA". It matches the Rfam family "Bacterial small subunit ribosomal RNA", at positions 28 to 523 of the family's 1533-position model. The record is from RNAcentral.